Molecule: long non-coding RNA, 1715 nt
Organism: Branchiostoma floridae (Florida lancelet)
Lineage: Eukaryota; Metazoa; Chordata; Leptocardii; Amphioxiformes; Branchiostomatidae
Exons: 4
Source: RefSeq, a predicted model, not a curated record
GGGAGUGCGUGUUCCAUUUCCGUAAGUGAUGGAUCCCGACUUCUACGACGAUAUCAAGAAAUUCAUCUUGUCGGGCAAGUUCCCUGAAAAUGUGGACAGCAAGAGGAAGAAGAGAUCCUUUCAUAGGAUGACUAAAACCUUCUGCUUGGAGGGAGAGGAUCUGUACUACAAAAAGAAAAUAAAGAAAGGAAAAAGUCAGUCUGUACUUCAUGUAAAGGUCCUGCGCAAGGGGGAGACUGACGAAGUGUUCCAUCAGUUCCAUGCAAGUGCCAUGGGUGGCCACAGAGGAAUAAGCAAAACAAUGGCUGCCAUCGCGUGUCGGUUUUACUGGCCAAAACAGUUAACCGACAUAAAGACACGGAUAAAGAACUGUGGACCAUGCCAACAUCCAUAACACCGGCAGCAUCCAAAAGAAGUUUAACGACACCCGAUGGAGAGGCAGAGGUGUCGGUGAGGAAGAGUACCAGGUUACAUACUAGUAUUCCCGGGUAGCCGGGAUUCUCGGUCGCCUCAUCGGAAAGUCCAAAAGUCUUUAAUGGUACACUUUGAAGCCUGGUACCGUCCGGUUUUAAUAUUCAGUGGUAGUAUUCCUGUUCGUAAACUGCCCACAAAGAGAUCUUUGGCUUUUAUAAAGGUUCAUUGUGACAUAAUAUUCUGUACAAUAGGCAUCUGUAAGUGCUAAGUUUGGGCGUUAGCCAUAUGGCAGAAGUCCAAUCUUCUUUGUACAUAUCAAAUAGUUUCUCUUUCAGUUGUUUUCAUGUGUGUUUAAAAGUGACAAGUUAGAAAAACAUGGGAAGUCUUGAUUACUUCCACCUGAAGAGACCGAAAUUUCGGCUUCAAUUGGAAUGAUUAUCCCCACCUCCAAAAAAAUAUAUUUUACAAGUGUACCCGCCUUCAUACAAUUACACCUUUAGCAUAUAACACGUUGAUUAGUCUGGAACGAAUUCAAAAGAAAGAAAAAAUUAUGGUUUAAUUUAACUCUUGUCAUGCUUGUAUUCAUUCACCCUCCCUGUGCUUGGCUUUUUUCACACUAUUGAAAGAAUGGGCACUCCGUUUACAUUGCCCUUGAAUAGCUACUUCUCUCCAACGUAACCCAACUUAACCGUUAACGGAUAGAAAAUAUGGAAGUAUACUUAAUACGUUAAAAUAUAGAGAAAUAUGAUUUAGCUGUAGGUAACAGGAAGCGAGUACAAGACAUUAUAGUCGAUGGUUAGUUCCUGGAACAGGCCAGACCUGUGGCCUGACUGAUAAUAGGUAACUUAUCUAGGUCAAGUCCCAGUAGGGGAGGGCAUUCCCAGUGUUGGGAUGUGACGUAGGACAAGAUAGACAAUGCCCAUAUUUGGUACAGAGGAGCCCUUGGUUCCUUGUAUGGACAUUGUCUUAUGACCAGAUACUUUGGAAUGUUGUGACUAAUAUUGUGUAGGAAGACUUCCUGUCUUCUUUGGUCAGGAGUUACUAUGUCGGGACCAAAGAUGUAGUCCAUCCGUGCAAGGAGGUCAGUCCGUGUGACCGGUGGCACUUGUCUGAAGUAAGUCUGUUCUGUAGUUAACACAACGCAAUGUCCUAACGUAAUAAUGUCCAAAUGUAAUAACGUCCUGAAGUAUUAAUGUCCUGGUAACUUGUCAUUAGUUUGGUAUUAUCGGUGUUAUAUAGUCAAUGAUAGCUCUGUUUGUGUUGGCAUUGUCUAUGUGAAUAAACUGUAUACAAGAACAAAG